UCGUAAGGAACUGCAAGUUUCAUGAUUCCAAAUUGUAACAAAUUCAUGUCCAUCAUCCUUAAGACACAUAAAUUAAGAUUACAAGAACAGUCUCCAUCUUUCUAAGAAUCAUAUGAGUUUAGUGUUAAAAAGAAAAUCAGAAAAAUGUCCCUUCAUCCUGUGCUCCACAAUUUUUUAAAGAAAAAAAAUCCAUUAAGAAAAACAGAACAAUUUCACUCUUCCUAUUUUUCCCAAUUUUUUU
RNAcentral lists this long non-coding RNA (241 nucleotides) under Medicago truncatula (barrel medic). Its description in RNAcentral is "long non-coding RNA (MTRU_LNC004166)". Lineage: Eukaryota; Viridiplantae; Streptophyta; Magnoliopsida; Fabales; Fabaceae. The record is from RNAcentral.